AUGAACGCUGGCGGCGUGCCUAAUACAUGCAAGUCGAACGAGUUCUCGUUGAUGAUCGGUGCUUGCACCGAGAUUCAACAUGGAACGAGUGGCGGACGGGUGAGUAACACGUGGGUAACCUGCCCUUAAGUGGGGGAUAACAUUUGGAAACAGAUGCUAAUACCGCAUAGAUCCAAGAACCGCAUGGUUCUUGGCUGAAAGAUGGCGUAAGCUAUCGCUUUUGGAUGGACCCGCGGCGUAUUAGCUAGUUGGUGAGGUAAUGGCUCACCAAGGCGAUGAUACGUAGCCGAACUGAGAGGUUGAUCGGCCACAUUGGGACUGAGACACGGCCCAAACUCCUACGGGAGGCAGCAGUAGGGAAUCUUCCACAAUGGACGCAAGUCUGAUGGAGCAACGCCGCGUGAGUGAAGAAGGCUUUCGGGUCGUAAAACUCUGUUGUUGGAGAAGAAUGGUCGGCAGAGUAACUGUUGUCGGCGUGACGGUAUCCAACCAGAAAGCCACGGCUAACUACGUGCCAGCAGCCGCGGUAAUACGUAGGUGGCAAGCGUUAUCCGGAUUUAUUGGGCGUAAAGCGAGCGCGGGCGGUUUUUUAAGUCUGAUGUGGAAGCCCUCGGCUUAACCGAGGAAGCGCAUCGGAAACUGGGAAACUUGAGUGCAGAAGAGGACAGUGGAACUCCAUGUGUAGCGGUGAAAUGCGUAGAUAUAUGGAAGAACACCAGUGGCGAAGGCGGCUGUCUGGUCUGUAACUGACGCUGAGGCUCGAAAGCAUGGGUAGCGAACAGGAUUAGAUACCCUGGUAGUCCAUGCCGUAAACGAUGAAUGCUAGGUGUUGGAGGGUUUCCGCCCUUCAGUGCCGCAGCUAACGCAUUAAGCAUUCCGCCUGGGGAGUACGACCGCAAGGUUGAAACUCAAAGGAAUUGACGGGGGCCCGCACAAGCGGUGGAGCAUGUGGUUUAAUUCGAAGCAACGCGAAGAACCUUACCAGGUCUUGACAUCUUUUGAUCACCUGAGAGAUCAGGUUUCCCCUUCGGGGGCAAAAUGACAGGUGGUGCAUGGUUGUCGUCAGCUCGUGUCGUGAGAUGUUGGGUUAAGUCCCGCAACGAGCGCAACCCUUAUGACUAGUUGCCAGCAUUUAGUUGGGCACUCUAGUAAGACUGCCGGUGACAAACCGGGGGAAGGUGGGGAUGACGUCAAAUCAUCAUGCCCCUUAUGACCUGGGCUACACACGUGCUACAAUGGAUGGUACAACGAGUUGCGAGACCGCGAGGUCAAGCUAAUCUCUUAAAGCCAUUCUCAGUUCGGACUGUAGGCUGCAACUCGCCUACACGAAGUCGGAAUCGCUAGUAAUCGCGGAUCAGCACGCCGCGGUGAAUACGUUCCCGGGCCUUGUACACACCGCCCGUCACACCAUGAGGGUUUGUAACACCCGAAGCCGGUGGCGUAACCCUUUUAGGGAGCGAGCCGUCUAAGGUGGGACAAAUGAUUAGGGUG
RNAcentral lists this ribosomal RNA (1491 nucleotides) under uncultured organism. RNAcentral's name for it is "SSU rRNA". It matches the Rfam family "Bacterial small subunit ribosomal RNA". The record is from RNAcentral.